AUUGAACGCUGGCGGCAUGCUUUACACAUGCAAGUCGAACGGUAACAGGCCUUCGGGUGCUGACGAGUGGCGAACGGGUGAGUAAUGCAUCGGAACGUGCCCAGAGGUGGGGGAUAACGCAGCGAAAGCUGUGCUAAUACCGCAUGUGAUCUGAGGAUGGAAGCGGGGGACCAGGCAGCAAUGUUUGGCCUCGCGCCUUUGGAGCGGCCGAUGUCAGAUUAGGUAGUUGGUGGGGUAAAGGCCUACCAAGCCGACGAUCUGUAGCUGGUCUGAGAGGACGACCAGCCACACUGGGACUGAGACACGGCCCAGACUCCUACGGGAGGCAGCAGUGGGGAAUUUUGGACAAUGGGCGCAAGCCUGAUCCAGCAAUGCCGCGUGCGGGAAGAAGGCCUUCGGGUUGUAAACCGCUUUUGUACGGAACGAAAAGGCUCUGGCUAAUACCUGGGGCUGAUGACGGUACCGUAAGAAUAAGCACCGGCUAACUACGUG
Molecule: ribosomal RNA, 492 nt
Filed under: uncultured bacterium
Lineage: Bacteria
Description: partial 16S ribosomal RNA
Rfam family: Bacterial small subunit ribosomal RNA
Source: RNAcentral